RNAcentral lists this unclassified non-coding RNA (400 nucleotides) under uncultured Fusobacteriota bacterium. RNAcentral's name for it is "uncultured Fusobacteria bacterium contains 16S-23S intergenic spacer region". Lineage: Bacteria; Fusobacteriati; Fusobacteriota. The record is from RNAcentral.
UGGACUACAGGGGUUUCUAAUCCUGUUUGCUCCCCACGCUUUCGCGCUUCAGCGUCAGUAUCUGUCCAGUGAGCUGACUUCUCCAUCGGCAUUCCUACAAAUAUCUACGAAUUUCACCUCUACACUUGUAGUUCCGCCCACCUCUCCAGUACUCUAGAAAAACAGUUUCCAACGCAAUACGGAGUUGAGCCCCGCAUUUUAACAUCAGACUUAUUUUUCCGCCUAGACGCGCUUUACGCCCAAUAAAUCCGGAUAACGCUUGCGACAUACGUAUUACCGCGGCUGCUGGCACGUAUUUAGCCGUCGCUUCUUCUGUUGGUACCGUCACUUUCUUCUUCCCAACUGAAAGCACUUUACAAUCCGAAGACCUUCAUCGUGCACACAGAAUUGCUGGAUCAGG